This 253-nucleotide ribosomal RNA is filed under the name uncultured bacterium. Its description in RNAcentral is "partial 16S ribosomal RNA". It matches the Rfam family "Bacterial small subunit ribosomal RNA", at positions 524 to 776 of the family's 1533-position model. The record is from RNAcentral.
UACGUAGGGUGCGAGCGUUGUCCGGAAUUAUUGGGCGUAAAGAGCUCGUAGGCGGUUUGUUGCGUCGGCCGUGAAAACCUGCAGCUUAACUGUGGGCCUGCGGCCGAUACGGGCAGACUUGAGUUCGGUAGGGGAGACUGGAAUUCCUGGUGUAGCGGUGAAAUGCGCAGAUAUCAGGAAGAACACCUAUGGCGAAGGCAGCUCUCUGGGACGGUACUGACGCUGAGACGCGAAAGCGUGGGGAGCGAACAGG